Molecule: unclassified non-coding RNA, 275 nt
Filed under: Hevea brasiliensis (rubber tree)
Lineage: Eukaryota; Viridiplantae; Streptophyta; Magnoliopsida; Malpighiales; Euphorbiaceae
Source: RNAcentral
UAGGCUUUGUGGAAUUCAAAGCCGGAACAGAACCCAUGAUUAAAAAAAAACUAAAACUUCAAACCAGUGCAGAGAAAGAUCUUCUCUUUCUUUUCUCUUCUCUGGUUCGAAGGGGAAAGGGGAAUUGAAGAAGACAAAACUUUACUUGAAAGAUAGCGAAUUGAACCAGAAAUGGAGUGAGAUGAAAGGGUUGUGGAGGCUGCAAGAGAGAUGGUAGAAGGGGGCUAUCAGGAGAGGAAGGAGUCAAUGACUUGUUCAAAUGAAAUGGGCUGGGC